Molecule: unclassified non-coding RNA, 375 nt
Filed under: uncultured Actinomycetes bacterium
Lineage: Bacteria; Bacillati; Actinomycetota; Actinomycetes
Description: uncultured actinobacterium contains 16S-23S intergenic spacer region
Source: RNAcentral
UCCGAGUUGACCCCGGCAGUCUCCCACGAGUCCCCGGCCGAACCGCUGGCAACAUAGGAUAAGGGUUGCGCUCGUUGCGGGACUUAACCCAACAUCUCACGACACGAGCUGACGACAGCCAUGCACCACCUGUACACCAACCACAAGGGAAACCCCAUCUCUGAGGCAAUCUGGCGCAUGUCAAGCCCAGGUAAGGUUCUUCGCGUUGCAUCGAAUUAAUCCACAUGCUCCGCCGCUUGUGCGGGCCCCCGUCAAUUCCUUUGGGUUUUAGCCUUGCGGCCGUACUCCCCAGGCGGGGCGCUUAAUGCGUUAGCUACGGCACGGAACACAAAACGCGUCCCACACCUAGCGCCCACCGUUUACGGCGUGGACUAC